This 37854-nucleotide long non-coding RNA is filed under the name Triticum aestivum (bread wheat). RNAcentral describes it as "long non-coding RNA (TAES_LNC017937)". Lineage: Eukaryota; Viridiplantae; Streptophyta; Magnoliopsida; Poales; Poaceae. The record is from RNAcentral.
GCUUGUUGUAGGUGAUCCCAAAAUUUGGAGACGAAUUGGGUGCCUCGGUCUGAAAUUAUAUUCUUUGGGACUCCGUGCAAGCAAACUAUACGGGAGAGAUAAAGUUUUGCCAGUCUUUGUGUGGAGUAGGUAGUCUUCACGGGAAUGAAAUGAGCAACCUUGGUUAGUCGGUCUGUGAUGACCCAUAUGGCGUCAUUUCCGCGUUGUGACCGGGGUAAUCCGACAAUGAAGUCCAUUCCGAUUUCAUCCCAUUUCCACUCCGGUAUCCUGUUAGGCUGGAGUAGCCCUGCUGGCUUUUGGUGCUCUGCCUUGAUGCGCUGACAUGAAUCGCAACAAGCAAUGAACGUGGCUAUAUCUCUUUUCAUACCGUGCCACUAAAAUCUUUCUUGGAUGUCCUUGUACAUUUUGGUUCCUCCAGGAUGGAUCGAGUAUGGGGCGGUGUGGCUUUCCGUCAAGAUCUGUUGCUUGAGUUCCUCAAUGUUAGGUACGCAAAGUCUGUCUCGGUACCAUAAUGUUCCUUCACUGUCCGUGACGAAUUCUGAAGUCUUACCAAGAUUCAUUUUCUUCUUUAUGCCUUCGAUACUGGGAUGUCCCUGUUGAGCCUUCUUGAUUUGUUCCACUAGGGUGGGUUGUAUCUCCAGGUUCGAUACGGUGCCCUCAGAGACUAACAUCAUGUUGAGCCUAGUGAACUCUCGCUGAAACUCAGGCCUCAAAUUUUUCUGACCGUCACUGUCCGGGCUGGGGUUUCGACUAAGGGCAUCGGCCACUACAUUUGCAUUCCCUGGGUGGUAGUGAAUACCGACGUCAUAGUCCUUGACCAGUUCCAACCAGCGUCGUUGGCGUAAAUUCAGCUCUGGCUGUGUGAAAAUAUAUUUGAGGCUCUUAUGGUCCGUAUAUAUUUCACAGCGAUUACCCAACAGAAAAUGCCUCCACUCCUUGAGUGCAUGUAUAACUGCUGCUAGCUCCAAGUCAUGUGUUGGGUAAUUUUCCUCAUGUUUUCGCAGCUGCCUGGAGGCAUAUGCGACAACUUUGCCAUCCUGCAUUAGCACACAUCCGAGACCUUUUCGGGACGCGUCACAAUACACCUCAAAGCUCUUGUGUAUGUCUGGUACAGUUAAGACCGGUGCGGUUGUCAGCUUCUUCUUGAGUUCUUGGAAGCUCUGCUCACAUGCUUCCGUCCAUACAAAUUUGUUGUCCUUCUUGAGUAACUGUGUUAUAGGUUUUGCCACAGUGGAGAAUCCUUCAAUAAAUCUCCUGUAAUAUCCGGCCAUUCCUAGGAAACUCCGCACAUCUAUAACAUUCGCGGGUGGCUUCCAGUCUAGUAUGGCCUUGACUUUUUCUGGGUCUACGGCCACGCCUUCUUGGUUCAAUAUAUGGCCCAAGAAACCAACUUGUCUUAGCCAAAAUUCGCAUUUGCUAAAUUUGGCGUACAACUGAUGUUUCCUCAAUUCUCCCAAAAAGAUUCUGAGGUGCUCAGCAUGCUCUUCUGGUGUCCUUGAGUAAACCAGAAUAUCGUCAAUGAAUACCACCACAAAUUUGUCCAUGAAUUUCAUGAACACUUUGUUCAUGAGGUGGACGAAAUAUGCGGGGGCGUUCGUUAGUCCAAAAGGCAUCACUGUAAACUCGUAUAACCCAUAUCUGGAAGUGAAAGCUGUCUUGGGAAUAUCUUCCGUCCGUACCUUCAAUUGGUGAUAUCCCGAUCUAAAAUCAAUUUUUGAGAAUACCUUGGCCUGUGCGAGCUGGUCAAACAAAUCAUUUAUUUGUGGCAUCGGAUAUUUGUUUUUGAUGGUGACCAUAUUGAGGGCUCGAUAGUCUAUGCACAGCCUCAGUGUUCCAUCUUUCUUUUUGGCGAACAACACAGGCGAACCCCAAGGUGAGGAGCUGGCUCGAAUAAAUCCUUUGUCCAACAAUUCCUUUAUCUGCUUCUUCAACUCCACCAAUUCUGAGGGUGCCAUUCUAUACGGCUUUUUAUAGAUGGGAGCGGUGCCAGGUGCUAGUUCAAUGCUGAAUUCUAUCUCUCGGUCUGGUGGCAUGCCUGGUAGUUCUCCGGGAACACAUCAGGGAACUCGCAUACCACUGGAACUUUUCUCAGUUCCGCAAUGUCCAUUUUGUUCAGUUUUGGUCUCUGGGACUAUGGCCUUUCUUGAGCGGAAACUCUUAUAGUCUUGCCGUGAUGGUGAGUGAGAAUCACGGUCCGAUUGAAACAGUCGAUGAAUCCUUUGUUGGUGGUCAACCAGUCCAUCCCUAAAAUGACAUCCAGUCCUUUACUUUCCAACACGAUGAGAUUCGCGUGGAAUUGUAGUCCUUCAAACUCAAUGACCACUCCUUGGCAGUAACCUUGAGCGAUUUGCUUAUUUCCGGGGGACUUGAUGAUCAUAGAUUUUUCCAGGGGAAGAAUGGGAAAACCGUGUUGCGAAACAAAACUCUUCGAAACGAACGAAUGGGAAGCUCCAGAAUCAAACAAAACCGUGGCAGGUACUGUGUUGACAGGGAACGUACCGAGCACGAUGUCUGGGGCAUUCUGCGCUUCUUCCCUGGUCACAUGGUUCAGGUGACCCUUCCUGUGGCUGUUGCUGGGGUUGAAGUUGUUGCGCUUGGGGGCUGGAUUGUUCCCACCAUUGUUCGGCUUGGGUGCCGAGCCUCUCGGCUUCGGGCACUGUUUAGCAUAAUGCCCUUGUUGACCACAUGCAUAGUAGGUGACCCCUGGACGGUAUGUGAACUCCUUGUCCCUGGCAUGAAACUGCCCGACGGGCCUUGGCUCAGUAGUCGUGGAUCUCCUUGCGUCUGUCCUUGGGACCUUAGUCUUGCCUCGGUUGCUGCGGGCAAGCGUUGUCUUGUCCCUCUUCCGCUUACGGCUAUCUUCUAGACUACGGCGCUCAUUCUCCAAGGUGAUGACCUUGUCCACCAGCGUCUUAAAAUCCGGAAAGGUGUGCACGAUCAGUUGGCAUCUUAAUGCUGGUGCCAGGCCGUCCAGGAAUUUUUCCAUCUUCUUGUUUUCUGUCAUGUGCUCGUCAUAGGCAUAACGAGACAGCUGGGUGAACUGACCGUUGUAUUCUGUGACGGACAUGCCUCUUUGCUUUAGGUCAUCAAACUCUCUCUUCUUGAUCUUUAGGAUGCUCCUGGGGAUGUGUGCCCCACGGAAGCCUUCCUUGAAUUCUUCCCAGGUGAUGUUGUGUUCCCUGGGAUGCAUGUGUAGGAAGUUUUCCCACCAUGCUGCGGCUGCUCCAGUAAGGUAGUGUGGUGCAUAAAGCACCUUCUCAUGAUCCGAGCACUGAGCAAUAAUCAGUUUCCUUUCAAUCUCACAAAGCCAAUCAUCGGCUUCCAGCGGUCUAUCGGUGUGAGCAAAAGUUGAGGGGCGAGUCUUCUGUAACUCAAAUAACUUGGAAUGUGGUUGAUAGGGUUCACGGUGGUUUCCCAUAUUGAUGACAUGGUUCAUCAUCUCUUGGUGCUGUUGCUGGCUUUGCUCGAAGAGACGGCAUACUUGAGACAGUGCUGCUUCGCUGUCUUGUUGGCCGGACUGACCCUGAGUGAAAUUGUUGCUGGUCUGUGUCCCGUAAACCUCUUCUGGCUGAUUGGGCAUAGAGCGAGUCCAUGGGCGAGACAUUUUUCCAGUCUGGGGUAUUAUUUGCAAAACCCAUGAGAAAAACUGUGUAGCACAAGAAAAAUCUUGCAAAGGCGAUAAUUAAAGAGGCUUCAAGGUUUUCAAAGAAACACAAAUGAUUUUUCACGGAGAAGAAGUGCUUAACAUAAAACUUACAUGCGAAAAGCAACCACACGAUACAGCACUCAAGAUGCGCGUACACAUCCUGACAUGUUAUUUUAAAACUAGCGUACUACUCCGGAAGGCAGCAAUCACGCCAAUACAAACUAGCGUACAUAUAAAACAACACAUCAUACAAGCAGGCAUAACACGUGGCUACUCGGUGCUCUCAGUCGGAGAUGGUGAAGAUCUCCUUCCCCUUGCCGAUGGCAAGGCUCAGAGGUCCAGGAGAAUCAACCUCCUCCUCUCUAGCUGGUUCCUGGCGCGCGACGCUGUGCGGCGGUGACGGAGCGGGGGCGACUGGUGGUAGAGCGCGUGCGGCAGGCGGUGCGGCUCUGACUGGAGUAGGAGCGAUGACUCGGUCGAACUCCUCAGUGGUAGGCAGACGGCGAGCAGUGGCCAAAACGGCCGGUGCAUACGAGGCUGAAGACGAGACGAAAGUCAGAGGCGGCGCCGUGUGGAGAAGCUCCUUCCUGCUGGCAGGACCGCCCCGGACUAAGUCCAUGCGGGCAGCCACAAGAUCAUCUACGAGGUUGUCGAAAGACUCCGCCAGCGCCUUGAGAUACUCCACAACCAUCUCGAUGGCUUCAUCUCGUUCUCCCCGAUGGCAGGCGAACGCAUAGUGGCUGGUGUAAGGCACAUGGCAUGGGAGGUAGCGGUAGCGACGAGUCUUCAUCGUAGGAAGGAUGUCCCGAAGGCGAGCUAUCGCCUCGCGGGCAGCCAUCUGCAUGGCAUGCCUCUCCGUAGGCAUGGCCCUUCCCGUAAAACGGAAGUGACGAGCAGCAGAACGUCCUCCCCUGAACUGCACCACGGCUUGGUGCAUAGACACGUCGUCACUGAGCUUGUGCUGAUAGAGCGUGAACUCCGGGCGAGCUGCUGGCCCGAUCGCGAGCUUGGUGAUGGAGACGAGGAGCUUGACAAACCCCUCGGGCACGUUGGUGAACACUUGAUUCUCACAGCUGCUGCCAGCCAUCUACAAAAGUAGGCAAAAAUUCUGAGUAGUCAUGUCAUAAAUUUAUGAUGACCAACAGAAAAAUAGCUACAAUUGCAAAAAUGCUGAAAAAGCACAAAAGAUGCUAAUAACCAAUUAGCGAUCGCACCUAGUGGCUUCCUACAGUCAGCCUGGCUCUGAUACCAAGCUUGUCACGACCGGUUUUUCAAUAAAAUAUUUAUUGAGAGACCAAUCCCUUUUACGGACCAGCGAGGAAGAAUUCCUUCUCACUGGUAGACAAUAUCUUGGUCACAGAAGAAAAAAUACCAGGAGUACUAAAUAUAAUACAAGGUUGAGCAGAGACUGCCCAACAAUUUAUUACAUGCACGCCGUUAAAACAAGACGGCGGAUAGGGUGGCAAACUACUAACUUACGAUAAUAACGGUGGUGGAAAUAUCACCGCGAAGCGAGUGAUAUGAUUCCAGGAGACUACAGCUCUUCGAGCGUCGGAGUGAGGCUCGAGGAGACUUAUUGCGGGUGGCGGAAGCGAAUACAAUACAAGUGACCAAAGUCCGGGAUCGCGCAGGACUGACUGGGACUCCUCUAGGCAUCGGACGCGCUAUCAAACUCUUCAUCCAAGAGAUCGCCUUCGUCAACAUCUGGCCAAAUCAACAAGCCAGGUGAGUACUAUGAAAGUACUCGCGAGACAGUUUGGACAUAAGAUAUAACAAAUGUAAACAUGAAGCAUAUGAACAAGUUAACCGGUGCGAUUAGACAUAGCGGUAAUAAAUACUGGGUGCCAAGCGAGGGUCUGAAUGGCGCCUCGAGCGAAAACUGCAGAAUAGUAAUACUGGUGCCAAACGAGUGUCUGAAAGACUCCUCGAGCGGAAAAUGCGGAAUAAUAAUGCGGGUGCCAAACGAGUGUCUGAAAGACUCCUCGAGCGGAAAAUGCGGAAUAAUAAUGCGGGUGCCAACCGAGUGUCUGAAAGACUCCUCGAGCGGAAAAUGCGGAAUAUUAAUGCCACAGUCGGGCGUCGGGGCGACACCACAUAAAGGGCUUAUAACAGAAAAUAAAGGCAGUGCAUGCGGCAGUCGGACGUCUGAGCGACAUCUCAUAAAGGGCUUAUAUUUAAAGUGAGAAACGAGUACACGCCACAGUCGGACGUCUGCGCGACGUCUCAUAAAGGGCUUAUAUCACAACUCAUUAAUAGAGUAGUUCGGGAACAUGAAUUAUCACAAGCAUGAGACAAAUAUAAAGUUAGUCCAUCCACAGGAAUAACAAUAGAUCUGAAUUUACCACUUGAACUUGUUCACCGGGGACAAGUUUUUCACACCGAUAGAUAUGGAUGCAAAACUUACACUGCUGGAUCAUGGAUACGAUGAUUUGGAAAGAAUUGACUCUGCAGAGUUUAUACUUAACCACAGCCAACGGAUUUCAGUAGUCACGGGGACUAGUUCCGUCUACGGUGUUUUGGAAGAAACACGUCUAACCAGUACACACCCAAUUCAUCCAUCCGAAGCCAGGGAUCACCCUCGGCAACAUUCAAGAAAAACCUUGAGACGGGGAGGCUACAACCUCGCGUAGCAUGGGAUCAAAUUUCUAUACGCGCGCUUUAAGGGGGUGCCCCCCUCUCGGUCCCAACCGGAAACACCCAUGCCCCCUGACCGAAUGACUGGCUUUAAUCCUGGGCCAAGGUACCAUCAUCCCGGCCUCUCUGUUUGGUGUGUACACGGAAAGAGGUUACCAACUUACUAAACUGCAUCCUGGCAAUGAGACUUGUGGUAGCACGGAAAGGGGAAAGGACGGUAACGCGGCUCCAACCACGUUAACGUCGGAAAAAGUCGGAUGACGCAAGGCUGGCAUGCUACAACAGUACCACCUUGCUGCCCUUCAUGUCACCACAUGAUUAGGCCAUCUCUCAUCAGAGAUCAUCGCAACUUUGGAACAACAGGGUUGUUGCCUUACAAGCAACGAGGUAUUUACCGACCUUCAUUUGCCACGCACAAACUCUCACGUGAACAUGAAAAACACCUGUCAUAUCAACUGUUCAAAACAUGCUUGCCUGGUUCGGAGAAGUCGGAGUCUAGCUCGGCGAAGUUCGCGGCUCCGUCACCUCCCCCGGAACCUACGGCAAUCACGAAACGGGUACUAACGUGAAAAUCAACACAUGCACAGAAACUUUUCCAAAUAUUUUUCAAAUAAAUCCCAUAAAAAACUAGACAAAAUUUGAAGAUUGUCAGAAAAAGAAUCACUCAAAAAUACCUUUUUAUUAAAAAGUUAUAAAGGUUUCUGUCUAGGGACUUAUCUGUGAUGAAACAGAAAAGUUCCAGGGUUUUAACUGAGAAAACAGAAAACGCUUCGGUUGGGAAUGCGCAAGCGCAAAGGAGAAAACGUAUUCUGCCCGAAGGCGCCAACAAAAAACGAUUCGCGAAUAAAAGAACAGAGGCUGACACACGGGGUCCACAUGUCAGGUUUGAAAAGCUCGCCGGCGCCCGAAGACUGCGGUGGACGCCGGCGUCGAACCACGGCGAGUUAGGAGGAACGGAGGGUACCAAGAGCUUCAGCGUCCUCUUCCGCGUCGGUGGGUGGUGGACUCGUCCAACGGGGAGCACGACGUCGACGGCGACACUUUCUCCGGCGGACGGCGGCUCGGGUGAGGAUGGGGAACUCCGGUGGAGGGCUGCAAGCUUCAAAUUGAAGUGCGGGUCAGAAAGAGGGAUGCAUAGUGAAGCUACUGGCAAGAGAAUGGAGGCGGAGGAGCACACACGGGGGCGAAUCGGGCUGGAUCCCGUGGCGGGUCGCGGCGGCCGGAGUCGAGGAAGGAGACCUCCUCGGGGCUCUUCUACUGGCUAGGCGUGCUCUAGGGGAAGUGCAGUGCUGGUGGGUGCUCGAGUUGAAGCUCGGGGCCUCUAUUUAUAGGCAGAUCGACGGGGUGGCCGUGAACGGAGAAUCUCAGGCGAGCGAUUACGGCGGAGCAGUGGAUUGGCAGGGGGUUUGAGCGGCCGGGCAGCAUCAGUGGAGGUUACUGGAUUCGUUUUGCAGCUAAACGGGGUCGGUCUUGGCGUAAUGGCGUCGGUCCAUGGUGAGGUGACCGCACGGGCUCAACGGCGGCAGAGAGCGCGUUCCACGCCCUGCGGUUCACGACGAGAGCGGCAGCGCGUUCGGGGGAGUGGAAGGCCACGCGGCGAGCUCCGGUUGUUUGGGCGGCGCUGGGUGGCGUCGUCGGCGCCGUGUCUCCCGCUAGCGUCCGCAAAGCCGCCGCCGGUGUCGGUCACGGGGCGGCGCACCUUCUGCUGCUCUUCGCUGACGCCCGCAAGGUGCCAAGCAUUCGUGCGGUGCAGGAACAAGGGGGCGGGGACGAGGAGCAAGGCGACGCGGUGGCACUGGCGAGAUCGACGUCCUCCUCUGAAGACAACGACAGCAGCCACUGACUGAAUCUCUGAACUUUCUGAACUUUGACAAAGACAGUGCAUUGCAGGUGUUCGACAGAAGGCUUAGGCUAUGAGAUAAAUUUUUCUGGAGCUGUAACUUGGUGAGAUGACCACUCAAUGCACCCAGAGGCUGCCUGAUUUUACUUGGAAUUUUUGGAGAAGGUUUGGAAUGAAUUUCACCAAAUUUGACAAAUCUGGUCCAAACUUGCAGCAAGUGUAGUUUGAAAAUUUUGAACUGUAGACCAGUGGAUCUUCAUGGUUCUAGGUUGAGGGUUCAAAGGACUAGGAGGGGAAAAAGGUUUGGUGCCAAAAAUCAAGACAGAAAGUGGGGUUCCUUUGUAAAUCUCCAAGUGGUAGAAUAGAAGACAGAAAUUUGUUUGAAUAUAAUUUGAAUGGAAAUAAUCACAUGGGGAGGUUCAACUUGCUGGAUUUGAUGCAAAUCAUGAUCCAAAGGUGAGGAAGUGGUUACGAGAGAGGAUUUGCACUAAGGCCAUGGCAAGAAGGAUUUGUUGAAAGUGGCAAAGGAUUUUCCAAAAGCCAUAGUGCAAAUUCAAAAAGAUUUUCAAAAGUUAUUUUCCCAAAUGAAAAACAUUUUGUCUUGAGUCCAAAAGAAAAGCAAGAACUUCCAAGUCCAAAGGCAGAUCUUGGGUGAAUCCAAACAAAACUUUUGCCAUAAAGAAAAAUAUAUGAGAGGGAGAGUUCUCUUGAAGAAAAAUUUAAAUCACUCCCCUCAAGUCAAAUAAAAUCUUUUGAAAAAUCCAAAUAAAAACUUGGGUGUCACACACGGCCCAUUAUCAGCAGCAACAGCUCAAGACCCUCGCGCGGGGCCAAGCCUCGUGAGGCGGACGACACCAAGACCUCCCUGGGGGCAGUCCCACUAGACUGGCUCCCGAGGAGCGGAGAUAUCUAUGCAAGGGGCACCUCGCGAGGUGCACAUGAUGUCAGCCAUGACGACCCAGGCCAGGCGGGCGCCAGCGGGCCCAGUGUACCAGUUUCCCCUUUGGUGCUAAGGAGGCAAGCGCAGGCGCGGAGUGCCGAGGAAUCAAGGAAAGGUUUCCUUAUCGGUGCAACAAGACCAAGACCAGCAGGACAGCAAGACGCAGGUCAUCGCGGAGCCCACAUCAGCGUCACCACCAGAGACUUUGGCAGGCGAAGACUACUUUUGUCAGGAUAGCUUGUACUAGUUGUCUCCCUUCAAACUUGGCCAUUGUGGGAUCCCUUCCCGCCUAACAUUUGGGAAGAGGACCGGGGCCUCUACAAAUAGGACUUAGCCACCACCAUAGAGGGGUAUCGAAUCUUGGAUCGAAGCCAUUCCACCAAGGCCAUCUCACCAGCUCAUUGAGCUCAAGAACACCUCACCUCCUGAGGUUGUUCCACCACUGUACUAGUUCAUCCUCAGCCCCUCGAGGUAAUCCACCACACACUGGAGUAGGGUAUUACACCGCAAGGUGGCCCGAACCAGUAUAAACUCAUGUGUCUCUUGUUCUUGGGUUCAUCGAGCUAGGCCGGGGAAUCGUUGGGUAGGCAGGCCGGGGAGAGAGAGAGAGUUCUUCAUGUGCACCCCAGAGUUCGAACCUCUCAAGGGGAUGCGGAACCCAUAAUCCGACAUUUGGCGCACCAGGUAGGGGUGCGCCGAAGCCUCUCUUCCAUCGAUCGACUCGCCAUCACCCUGCGGCUCUGAUAGCUGACGGUUCGAGGGCUAACGCCGAGCACUGGGCUGCCUGGCCCGCUCGGGCGGCGUCAUCAGCUCAAGAAGACCUCAACUCCGCGCUCCAGGCGGCGCGUACACCGCCCAACACCACCGGACGCGGGCGGUGCGGGCCGGCGCUGUCCGCCCUCGCACCGCGGUGCACGCGUGCCACCACACGAUCUUCAGGCUACGCUGCGGCGAGGGCACCGCACACCCGACGGGAGCAGGCGAACAUGCGAGCCGUGCUCAUCAUGGCACGGGAGCUGCUGCGGUGCAGGCUGGCGGACGGCGGCCGUGACGCACAGCUGGAGCACGUCACCGAACUGCUCGACGCUUCUUGCAGGGAUACGGGGCCUUUCUGCUCCUUGCCCACGCCACAGGUUGUGGCAGAAACGCGCGUGAGGCCCCGGCGAUCUCGCGCGCCCCCUGGAGCUCUAGGGGGCCCAGCAUCACCAACGUAGAUCACGACGCAGCCCGCCCUCUCGCGCACCCUCUCGGCAAGUCGAUAUCUUCCAUAGUUGAAUACGCCGCCGCACUCCCUUGAAUAGCUCUACAAGCUUCUCCAUACUCCUUGGAGGGGAGUCAGAUGGCCAUAAGGCCUUGGCUACACUCCGCAUUGCCUGCCGAGCUUGCUCGUGCAACUGCCACAGCCCUUGCAGGAGAUCACUUGAUGAUCCGGACACCUCCUCUUCAGGACGGCCCGUCAAUAUACCUGCAAUCACAGCUAUAUCAGCUACUUUUACCUCCAAACUGUUAUAAGGUCAAUUCGGCCACGUACUGAAUAUGCCGCCUCGCAGCCUUUUGUUCUCCUUCACGGAGUCGGCUAGCUGGGCUCGUACAUCUUUCAGUUCUUUGCCUAGUUUGGUGUUUGAAUCUUGGAGUUUGUUUUUCUCCUCUCUGACUCGGGCCAGGAUACGUUCGCCUGCAGCGUGUAGUCUUUUUGCCUCUUUCUCCCCCGCUUGAGCGGUUUUCAACUUCUCUUCUAGUUGACCUGAUGAUCCUAUUAUGAGAUAAGCAACAUUAUUAGUACAACCACUGUAUAAUUGUUACUCCUCGAUGGAGGGGAUCCUUACCAGAAGAUGCCUUGUUGGACUCUUUCACAUCGGCGGUAGAAGCAUUUAGCUGUGUCUGAUACUGCUCCAGCUCUUGAGUUAGCAGGUUGUUCCUCUCUGUCAGAACCUGGUUAUACAUCGAUCCUUAAAUCACUUGUGCCAACUACUUUCAGUCUCGGGGGCUACUAGCAUGUGCUUGUCCUUUUCGGACAAAAUAAACCUUACCCGCACAUCCGUUAAAUGCUGCUUUGUGGCUCUACCAAGCCCAUCUCGAGCAGCUCGGAUGUAUGCGUCAGCCGAGUUGAGGGCAUCAAACGCCUCUUUCGAACAGCGGGGGUCUCGUAAAAUGGCCCUCCAACACCGAUGAUUCAUGGCGCUCUCCACUUCCGACUUGGUGACGGACAUAUUUUCCGAACCCUCAGCCGAAGGACAGUCCGGUGUCAGUCCCAUAUCGGCCUCCGUCCCCUCGGUUGGGGCUGGAUCCUGGCUGCUGGGAGUAAUACUGCACGGACCCCGGGACACACAGUCCGGCAGACUCUUUUCCUGAUACGGGAUGAACAUGAAAGUCACAGUUGGAUGCGACUAUUAAAAAACAUAUUUGCAAACCCAUACCUCUUUGACGAGGGCCCGACCGUGUCUUCGCCUGCCUUCGUCUUCGAAGGCUUGCCCGGUGCAGGAGCCUCUCUCUUCAGAGUCGCUCCUUGAGUUGCACGGUAUGUUGAACGCCUCCCCUUCGAAGCACGAGACAGUGCGGUGGGUGAGGCGGAAUGAGGGAAUCCUUUCGGGAAGAUGCCUCCUGACUACUUACAUGUGAAGCGGGGAGAAGAACAGGGUAAUCGACGAUGAUGGCCACUUCGGUGCCGUCGUAGCUCGCCUGGUAAAGCACGCCAUUCUCCAGCACCAUGAAUAUAUCUGGAUCCUCUUCGAAUCCGGGGUCAAGGUUCCGGCUGUGGCCCUCGGGCGGCGGGGCGGGACUAUAAAGCCCCUCGGAAGUCUUUUGCCAGUGCUAUUAUAAAUGGACGGGUUAAGAAAGCUCAGGGAGAGGAAUGAGUGGAGCAAAGAAAGGUUGGGGGCUCACCCAGCUAGGAGGAUUGUACAUGGAAUAUCCUUCUCUGUGCGUGAUGCGCAGGAACUCCUCUUCCUCAUCUUUGAACAGUUCGGCCAAUAUUUUGGCUAGGGCGGCAGGGGUGUCCGGACCUUUCCUGCCGCAGUGGGAGGUGUCAUCUUCCCCAUUGUAAUUCCACAUGGGAAGUCCUCUGUAUUGGAGUGGCUGAACUCCCCGUACUAUGGAGGUCGCCAUCACUUUGACUAUUGUGUACCCGGACUAGGCAAGCGUCCUGAUCAGGAGUUGGCGAACUUCCGCACUAUCUUCCUCCUCGAGGCUCCAAGGGCGCCAGCUGUGGUGCUUCUUCAGAGGAACACCCGCAAACUCGGGGAGACCUCUCCGGACUGGAUCUGGAAGUACGACGUCAUCAAUGUAGAACCACUCGGAGGUCCACUCCUCGGAAGCUUCCUUCGUUGUGCCGGAUAAGUAUCCGGUCUCAGCAAUACGCCAUAUUUCGGCCCCGCCCACUUCAAAUAUCGAUCCCUCUUGGUUGCGUGGGACAAGGCAAAACAACUUUCUCAGCUGGAGGCCAUAAUACUCCAGGAGCCCUCGGAGGAAUGGGUGAAUUGGAAAUCCCACGCCCCUUAGCAAAUAGGGGACGAAGCACACUUGUUCUCCCGCAGACGGAUUGGGGAAAUCCUCCGCCUGGGUUUUGCCAUUGAAGGAGGCCAAUCCUGCUCGAACAGGGACCAGAUCUGCAGGAGGGAGAAAUCCCUGCGUUUGCAACUUCUCCAAUUGGACGUGGGACACGGAGCACCUCUCCCACUCGCCUCUCUCUAGGUUGGAACGGGAGGAGGAGCUAGGAAUGUUAGCCAUGUUGGAGUGGUCUUUCCUGGCAGUCUCUGAGGAUUUCCUCCGCGUGGUGCCGAAUGGAUCUGAGAUCCAAUCUCUUUAAAUAGACGCUUGCUACCUCUUGAGCACUGCGUUGGUUUUCCCUUGAAGAGGAAAGGGUUAUGCAGCAAAGUAGUGUAAGUAUUUCCCUCAGUUUUUGAGAACCAAGGUAUCAAUCCAGUAGGUGGCCACGCAUGAGUCCCUCGCACCUACACAAACACAUAAAUCCUCGCAACCAACGCAAUAAAGGGGUUGUCAAUCCCUUCACGGUCACUUACGAGAGUGAGAUCUGAUAGAUAUGAUAAGAUAAUAUUUUUGGUAUUUUUAUGAUAAAGAUGCAAAGUAAAGAAAGCAAAAUAAAGACGACGCUAGAAAUAACUUGUUGACGGGACUUUAAUAUGAUGGAAAAUAGACCCGGGGGCCAUAGGUUUCACUAGUGGCUUCUCUCAAGAGCAUAAGUAUUACGGUGGGUGAACAAAUUACUGUUGAGCAAUUGACAUAAUUGAGCAUAGUUAUGAGAAUAUCUAGGUAUGAUCAUGUAUAUAGGCAUCACGUCCGAGACAAGUAGACCAACUCCUGCCUACAUCUACUACUAUUACUCCACACAUCGACCGCUAUCCAGCAUGCAUCUAGAGUAUUAAGUUCAUAAGAACGGAGUAACGCUUUAAGUAAGAUGGCAUGAUGUAGAGGGAUAAACUCAUGCAAUAUGAUAUAAACCCCAUCUUGUUAUCCUCGAUGGCAACAAUCCAAUACGUGCCUUGCUGCCCCUACUGUCACUCGGAAAGGACACCGCAAGAUUGAACCCAAAGCUAAGAACUUCUCCCAUUGCAAGAAAGAUCAAUCUAGUAGGCCAAACCAAACUGAUAAUUCGAAGAGACUUGCAAAUAUAACCAAUCAUACAUAAAAGAAUUCAGAGAAGAUUCAUAUAUUGUUCAUAGAUAAACUUGAUCAUAAACCCAUAAUUCAUCGAUCUCAACAAACACACCGCAAAAGAAGAUUACAUCGAAUAGAUCUCCACAAGAGAGGGGGAGAACAUUGUAUUGAGAUCCAAAAAGAGAGAAGAAGCCAUCUAGCUAAUAACUAUGGACCCGAAGGUCUGAGGUAAACUACUCACACAUCAUCGGAGAGGCUAUGGUGUUGAUGCAGAAGCCCUCCGUGGUCGAUGCCCCCUCCGGUGGAGCUCCGGAAAAGGCCCCAAGAUGGGAUCUCACGGGUACAGAAGGUUGCAGCGGUGGAAUUAGGUUUUUGGCUCCGUAUCUGGUAGUUUGGGGGUACGUAGGUGUAUAUAGGAGGAAGAAGUACGUCGGUGGAGCAACGUGGGCCCCACAAGGGUAGAGGGCGCCCCCCUACCUCGUGCCCUCCUGGUUGAUGUCUUGAUGUAGGGUCCAAGUCCUCUGGAUCACGUUCGUUCUGAAAAUCACGUUCCCGAAGGUUUCAUUCUGUUUGGACUCCAUUUGAUAUUCUUUUUCUGCGAAACUCUAAAAUAGGCAAAAAACAGCAAUUCUGGGCUGGGCCUCCGGUUAAUAGGUUAGUCCCAAAAAUAAUAUAAAAGUGUAUAAUAAAGCCCAUUAAUGUCCAAAACAGAAUAUAAUGUAGCAUGGAACAAUCAAAAAUUAUAGAUACGUUGGAGAUGUAUCAACGCUCUUUCUGGCAUGGCUAGGGUGUUAUUUGCAAAAAAGACCCUGACCAUCCGCAUUCGCCCGACAUGUGGAAGAUGAAGUCAUAGGUACACAGAAGCCGAGGGGUGCAGCAUUGAAUUAAAAGCCGAAUACAUUACUUGGAAGCCGUCGGAAGGGGGACCCGCCUUGCAAUGCCGAAGACUAUCUGCGCGCCGAACACCUCGUCAUUGAAGCCUGGUUCGGGGGCUAUUGAGGGAGUCCUGGACUAAGGGGUCCUCGGGCGUCCGGCCUGUUAGCCAUGGGCCGGACUGAUGGGCUAUGAAGAUACGAAGACCGAAGACUGCACCCGUGUCCGGAUGGGACUCUCCUUGGCGUGGAAGGCAAGCUUGUCGGCCGAAUAUGUAGAUUCCUUUCCUUUGUAACCGACCUUGUGUAACCCUAGAUCCUCCCAGUGUCUAUAUAAACCGGAGGACUUAGUCUGGAAAGGGAUACUCAUUACCAUAGUCAUACAGGCUAGACUUCUAGGGUUUAGCCAUUACGAUCUCGUGGUAGAUCAACUCUUGUAAUACUCAUAUCCAUCAAGAUCAAUCAAGCAGGAAGUAGGGUAUUACCUCCAUAGAGAGGGCCCAAACCUGGGUAAACAUCGUGUCCCCUGUCUCCUGUUACCAUCGACCUUAGACGCACAGUUCGGGACCCCCUACCCGAGAUCCGCCGGUUUUGACACCGACAACGACACACCUCCUCCCUGUUCUGCUGCGCGAGGGACGCGGCGUCAUCAAUCUGCUGCUGGAGCGUGAAUAGAUCAGCAUGUGCGAAGGCUAGGUCGGCCUGGGCAGAGGACUGGGCCUCCACGGUGGUCCUCUCGCGUUGCUCCGCCUCGUCCAACCUUGACCUGAUGGGGGUGGUCCUGCCCUCAGCUUCGGCCUCCAGGAACUUCAGCUUCAGGUCGUACUCGUUGGCAAGGUCUGCACGAGCCUUAGCCACCCUCCGAUCGACCUCCUCCUAGAUCUUGGCUUCGCGUGCAGUGACGGCAUCCUUAGCCAUGGCCACAUGGCGCUCCCUCGUCUACAGCCGCUCAAGCUCGAGGUUGCGCUCCGAGGCCUCCAACAUCAGCGCCUCUUCACGCUUCUGGAUCUCCUUCUCUUUGGAAGGCUCCCCCCUCAUUGACGCCAAGACGGCCCUGCGCGCCUCGACCUGCUGCUCGAGGAUAGCAUUCAAGGCCCGGAGCUCCCGUUUGCGCUCCUCGGCGACCUCGCGGCGGCGAUCAGCCUCCCUGGCCUCCUCCAAGGCCCAGGCGCUAGCCUCGCGCAAGGUUGCAAGGGACGCCUCGGCCUUCGCACUGGUCCGCUCGUGCUGAAGACAGGUUGAUGGCCACCUUCAAUUAACACCAUUCGUCCGCCAGCCGAAGGCCCUCUAUCUCAAGGCGGGCGUCAACAUCGACAAGCUCUUCCUCGAGCCGGCUCAGCGCACCCAUCUCCUCCUGGAAGAGCUCGUGGCGGAUAGGCGCCGGGAAUCGUCGGGGGAGCUUGAGGUGGCUUGCCUGCUCCUAGCAGGGGGCUGGAGGCCGACGCCUUCCCCGCCGCCCUUCGGGCCUCGGUAGAGGCGCUGUGGGGCGAGGCCUCACAGCUCGAAGACGAGGCCAGGGCGGAGGUCGCCCAGCUGCGGGCAAUGACCAAUGGAGGAGCCUCGACACAUCUUCAGCACCCCAGACAGGACUAUGAAGGAGGGACGACAAGAACACAGGGUCAAGACACCUGGUCGGCACGUCCGCCUCUUCAAUAGGCCUCAUGCCAUGCGCAGCAGACUGUCCAGGAAUGCUUAGGACCAGUGGUGAGCCCGGAACGGGCGAAGGUCGCUUCUCAAGAGAUUUCGCCGCUCCCGCCGGGGGGACCCUAAAGAGUUGUGGUCAGGAAGGGAUGCGGCACUCAGGAAAUCACACAGAUGAGGUACUUACUCAUCUUUUGCUAUGUACUUCCUCUGCUUCAACGGCCGGUAGGCACCACCAUUGCAGCUUGGAGACACCUUCCUCUUGCAGAGUGCUCUGAAGUUCAGGCGAAGCUGGCCGAAGCCCUGGGCGCGACCGCCAUCGCCUGGGGUAGUUGGCGGGGCUCCUGAGGGGACGACCUCGGGAGCGUCAGGCUGCGCCGCCCCCUCAGCCUCCGCCUUAGGGCAGUUCGCCCGAGCCUCGGGGGCUUCCACCCAGGAGCCUCGAACCGCGUCGGCCCUCCGGCCACCACCUUAGGACAACUCGCCCGAGCCCCAAGAGCUGUCACCUCGGGAGCCAUGACCAAAGUCGCCCUCCCCCCGCACCCGCUUCCGGGGCAGGCGCUGAGGUGACAGCAGGCAAAGGAACCACAAGAACGGGGCUCUCGCUGGGCCCUUCAAGGCCGACUGGGCGCAGUCCCCAUUCGUCGAAAGGGGGCAUCUGCCUCGCAAACUCCACCUUGUUCGAGCAGCAGUACAGGAGGAAACCCUCCUCCGGUAGAUUGGCUGGCGCCAGGUCGCCCGUCAAGAGCUCAAGCACCGUCCGCGGUGCCUCAGUAGGAAGUGGAGGCACGUGAAGCCUUAUGGGGUCCCUGCUGCCGGAGAAGGUCCACAUCGGUCGGGAGUGACGCUAGAGUAGAGCAAUGUGGCACCGGAUGAACUCCUUCACCACCAUAGGCGCCGUCACCCCAAGGUCCUUCAACCUGGCCAGCUGACACCAGACAUGGGCGAGUCACCGGUCGACGAGCUUUGCAUGCCCCCAGCCGGAGCUCGGGAUGGCCGGUGCCCAUGGAAGCAGGAGCUGAGGGCUGAGCACGCCAACAUCCAUGAAUACCCACCGCUUCCGGAAUCCAUCCAACACUGGCGAGAGCUCGAAGUCGAUCCCCAACCCGGCCGUCGCCGCUACGGCAUGGAAGGUCACGCACCCCGAGCGCUGGCAGGCGUCAGUCAGAUGCAGCGAGAAGAAAUGGCAAAGCAAAGCCACGGAAGGGGCAAUGCCCACCAUGGCCUCGCAGACGAAGGCGCAGACGGCGAGGAGGAUGAUUGACUAGGGAUCCAGGUGCACCACAUUGAGUUGGUAAUGCGAGAGCACGACAUUGAAGAAAUCGGAGAAGGGGGAAUUAGGCCGUCCUAUCAACCGCGGUGCGGGAAGCAGGCCAAGCCGUUGUCGCUUUUCAUUCAUUGGAAUCGGCGGCGAGCGCUGGGCGAACCUUGUCCAAUCCUUCCUGGUUGACCACCACCGACCGCUCGAUGGCGGGCUCGAAGACUGGCGGCGGUUGGGCUGAGGUGCGGGUUUUCCCCUUUCCCUUCUUCUUCUAGCACGACGCCAUGGCGACAGGGAGCAUCGGUGCCAGGUCAGGCCGGGGGAGGAAACCGCUGUUUUCUGGAAGAUGGAGGUGCUAUGGGAGCUUGCUGCCAGCAAUGGAGGUGGAAUUGUGUUGACAACAGCAGCUGCCUAGCCUGGCGGAUAUCAAGGCUGCGUGGGGGAGUGGAGGUGCCAUCAUACUCAAAGUGGAUGGCGAGGGCCCCCUCCGCACGACAAGCGCGGGCGACCUCGCCCCAUCCACGGGUCAUGAAGAUGGUGCCCAGGGAGACGACCUCGACCUCCGCCCCCGUGGCCAGAGUGCUGCACUCGGCGUGCUGCAGCCACAGCUCAAGCGGCCCCCUUGGCGGCAUCUCCUGGGCGAAGAACCGCGGGAACUGGAUCCAUGUGCGUGGUGGCAUCGCCGCCCACACCACAAACACGCGCGAGGAGCCUUCGGCCUGGGUUCGGGGGCCGGCGGCUCGUGCGACCAUAACUUGGCCACCACGGCCGUGAUGCGAGCGGCACGGGGCACUGCCCCCUCCUCCAGAUCCUUACGCUUCGGCGUACAAGGGCAGCGGGUAGCCGGGAGGAGGCCACUCGUACCAAGGCCUCGUCACUUCCAGCCUCAUGCCAGCGUCGCGGGAGUAGCUGAACCUCUUCUUCGGCGGAAGUGCCCCCUGCUCCUCGCGGGGGUUUUUCCCCUUCUCGGUGGCGGAGAAUCUCCUUAUCGGCGCCAUGAGUGUCGCGGCAAGAAGGCGAGGCGAAGAAGAAGAAGAAGGAGCAGGCGGCGAGAAGAAGCAUAUGAGCAACGGGGGCUUCGCCCCUCUCCUCAUUUAUAGCUGGAAGGAGGCCAACCACCGGCCUCCAUGAUCGCACGUAAUGAUGUUUUCUUCUGCAUGCAGCAGGGUCUCGUCAAGUUGAACGGUUGCCGAGGCAGCGUGGGGAAGCGGAGGCGCCCGCGUCCCAUCUGUCGCCACGUGUCAACCGAGGCCGCAGACGGUUGGGGCCCGCGGCACUCCGCACUUGCCUUUUGGCUUCGUCUCGAAGCCAAGUUCGAGCGCGCCUUGGGCCCGGGGGCUACUGUCGGCGUCCUGGGAAUGAGGGUGCCCAGACUUGCCUACCUGCAGCCCGCGAGCAUGGCUCCAUCAAUGGCCCGGUACGGCCCAGCUUCAGCAGCAACAGCUCAAGACCCUCAUGAGGGGCCAAGCCUCGCAAGGCGAACGACACCAAGACCUCCCUGGGGGCACUCCCACUAGGCUGGCUCCCGAGGAGGGGAGAUAUCUAUGCAAGGGGCACCUUGUGAGGUGCACAUGACGUGAGCCAUGACGACCCAGGCCAGGCGGGUGCCAGCGAGCGUAGUGUGCCAGUUUCCCCUUUGAUGCUAUGGAGGAAAGUGCAGGCGCGGAGUCCCGAUGAAUCAAGGAAAGGUUUCCUUAUCAGUGCAACAAGACCAAUGCCAGCAGGACAGCAGGACGGAGGUCAUCGUGGAGCCCACAGCAGCGUCACCACCAGAGCCUUUGGCAAGCAAAGACUACUUUUGUCAGGAUAGCUUGUACUAGUUGUAUCCCUUCAAACUUGGCCGUUGUGGGUUCCCUUCCCGCCUAACAUUUGGGAGGAGGACCACGACCUCUAUAAAUAGGACUUAGCCACCACCAUAGAGGGGGAUCGAAUCUUGGAUUGGAGCCAUUCCGCGAAGGCCAUCUCACCAGCUCAUCGAGCUCAAGAACACCUCACCUCCCGAGGCUGUUCCACCACUGUACUAGUUCAUCCUCAGCCCCUCGAGGCAAUCCACCACACACUGGAGUAGGGGAUUACACCGCAAGGUGGCCCAAACCAGUAUAAACCCAUGUGUCUCUUGUUCUUCAGGUUCAUCGAGCUAGGCCGUGGAAUCGUUGGGUAGGCAGGACAGGGAGAGAGAGAGUUCUUCGUGCGCACCCCAGAGUUCGAACCUCUCAAGGGUCUACGAAACCCGUAAUCCGACACAUACAACGGGUGCAAGACAAUUUUGCACAUGCGGAAUACUUGAGUUAAACUGGACGAGCCUAGCAUGUACAGACAUGGCCCUGGAACACUGGAGACCGAAAGGAUGUCUAUCUAAGUGGGAGCCUAGCAUGAUCGGACAUGGUUUAGUUGACUUGGAUCACGUGAUCAUUUAGAUGACCCGAGGGAUGUCUAAGUGGGAGUUCUUAAGUAAUAUGAUUAAUUGAACUUAAUUUAUCAUGAACUUACUCCUGAUAGUAUUUGCAUAUCUAUGUUAUAGAUCAAUAGCUCGCGUAUAGCUCCCCUAUUUUAUUUUUGAUAUGUUCCUAGAGAAAAAUAAGUUGAAAGAUGAUAGUAGCAAUAAUGUGGAAUGGGUCCGUGAUCUGAGGAUUAUCCGCAUUGCUGCACAGAAGAAUUAUGUCCUUGAUGCACCGCUAGGUGACAGACUUAUUGCAGGAGCAGAUGCAGACGUUAUGAAUGUCUGACAACCUCGGUAUGGUGACUACUUGAUAGUUUAGUGCACCAUGCUAUACGGCUUAGAACCGGGACUUCAAAAAUGUUUUGAAAUCCGCGGAACAUAUGAGAUGUUCCAAGAGUUGAAAUUGGUAUUUCAGACUCAUGCCCAUGUCAAGAGGUAUGAGACCUCUGACAAGUACUUUGCCUACAAGAUUGAGGAGAAUAGCUCAACUAGUGAGCAUGUGCUCUGAAUGUCUGGGUACUACAAUCGCUUGAAUCAAGUGGGAGUUAAUAUUCCAGAUAAGAUAGUGAUUGACAGAGUUCUCUAGUCACUAUGACCAAGUUACUAGAAUUUCAUGAUGAAGUAUAAUAUGCAAGGGAUAACGAAAACGAUUCCCGAGCUCUUCCGAUGCUGAAAUCGGCGAAGGUAGAAAUCAAGAAAGAGCAUCGAGUGUUGAUGUUUAACAAGACCACUAGUUUCAAGAAAAAGGGAAAAGGGAAAGAAAGGGAACUUCAAGAAGAAUGGCAAGCAAGUUGUCAUUCCCAGGAAGAAGCCCAAAGCUGGAACAAAGCCUGAAACUGAGUGCUUCUACUACAAAGGGACUGGUCACUGGAAACGGAACUGCCCCAAGUAUUUGGCAGAUAAGAAGGAUGGCAAAGUAAAAAAAGGUAUAUUUGAUAUACAUGUUAUUAAUGUGUACUUUACUAGUGUUCAUAGUAACCCCUGAGUAUUUGAUACCAGUUCAGUUGCUAAGAUUAGUAACUCGAAACAGGAGUUACAAAAUGAACAGAGACUAGUUUAGGGCAAGGUAACGAUGUGUGUUGGAAGUGAUUCCAAGGUUGAUAAGAUGACCAUCACAUACUCCCUCUACCUUCGGGAUUAGUGUUGAACCUAAAUAAAUGUUAUUUGGUGUUUGCGUUGAGCAUGAAUAUGAUUGGAUCAUGUUUAUUGCAAUAUAGUUAUUCAUUUAAGGCAGAGAAUAAUUGUUGUUCUAUUUACAUGAAUAAAACUUCAAUGGUCAUACACCCAAUGUGAAUGGUUUGUUGAAUCUCGGUCGUGGUUAUACACAUAUUCAUAAUAUUGAUGCUAAAAGAUGCAAAGUUGACAAUGAUAGUGAAACAUAUUUGUGGCACUGCUGUUUAGGUCAUAUUGGUGUAAAUCACAUGACGAAACUCCAUGCGGAUGGACUUUUGGAAUCACUUGAUUAUGAAUCAUUUGAUGCUUGCGAACCAUGCCUCAUGGGCAAGAUGACUAAGAAUCCGUUCUCCGAAACAAUGGAGUGAACAAUACAUACCGAUGUAUGCGGUCCGAUGAGUGUUGAGGCUCGUGGUGGGUAUCGUUAUUUUCUGACCUUCACAGAUGAUUUGAGCAGAUAUGGGUAUAUCUACUUGAUGAAACACAAGUCUGAAACAUUUAAAAAGUUCAAAGAAUUUCAGAGUGAAGUGGGGAAUCAUCGUAACAAGAAAUACCGGAGGAAUACCUUGUGUGCUAUCAAACGUCACAACGUAACUGGGUUAUUAUAAAGAUGCUCUACAGGUAUUCCCGAAGGUGUUUGUUGGGGCAUAGAUCGAGAUUAGGAUUCGUCACUCCGUGUAUCGGAGAGGUUAAGCCUUGCAAGCAAUGUGACUAAUGAGUUAGUUGCGGGAUGAUGCAUUACAGAACGAGUAAAGAGACUUGCCGGUAACGAGGUUGAACUAGGUAUGAAGAUACCGAUGAUCGAAUCUCGGGCAAGUAACAUACCGAUGACAAAGGGAAUGACGUAUGUUGUCAUUACGGUUUAACCGAUAAAUAUCUUUGUAGAAUAUGUAGGAACCAAUAUGAGCAUCCAGGUUCCGCUAUUGGUUCUUGACCGGAGAGGUGUCUCAGUCAUGUCUACAUAGUUCUCAGACCCAUAGGGUCUGCACGCUUAACGUUCGAUGACGAUUUGUAUUAUAUGAGUUAUGUGAUUUGGUGACCGAAUGUUGUUCGGAGUCCCGGAUGAGAUCACGGACAUGACGAGUAGUCUUGAAAAGGUCGAGAGGUAAAUAUUGAUAUAGGACGAUGGUAUUCGGACACCGGAAGUGUUUCGGGAUGCACCGGUACUUAUCGGGUCACCGGAAGGGGCUCUGGGCAGCCCCGACAAAAGAUAUGGGCCAAGAGGGGAAACACACCAGCCGCAAAGGGGCUGGUGCACCCCCCAUAUGGGUUGGCCAAAUUGGAGAAGGAAAGGGGAAGAAGGAAAGGAAAUAGGGAAUAGGAUUCCCCCUUCCACCUGUUCCCUUCCUACUCCGAAUAGGAAUAGGAAAGGGGGGAGGCCGAAUUGGGAGGACCCCAAGUAGGAUUCCUCCUACUUGGGGUGCCCCCUUGGGUGCCUCUCCUCCCCUCCAAACUAUAUAUAUGUGGGGGGCACCGCUAGAACACACACCAACAAUUGUUAGCUGUGUGCGGCGCCCCCCUCCACAGUUUACGCCUCCGGUCAUAUCUUCGUAGUGCUUAGGCGAAGCCCUACGCGGAUCACUUCACCAUCAUCGUCACCACACCGUCGUGCUGAUGGAACUCUCCCUCGACACUUUGCUGGAUCAAGAGUUCGAGGGACAUCAUCGAGCUGAACAUGUGCAGAACUCGGAGGUGCCGUACAUUCAGUGCUUGAUCGGUCGGAACGAGAAGAAGUUCGACUACAUCAACCGCGUUGUCAAACGCUUCCGCUUUCGGUCUACGAGGGUACGUGGACACACUCUCCCCCUCUCAUUGCUAUUCAUCUCCUAGAUAGAUCUUGCGUGAGCAUAGGAUUUUUUUUUUGAAAUUUCAUGCUACAUUACCCAACAAUAUUAAGUCUCGUACUACGUACAUUCAAAUGUUGUUUUUAGCCCCCCCCCCUCGGCACACAUGCUACAUACUUCCUGUAUCGAUCAAUCUUCCUCUCCUAACCAGCUUAGGCAGCUACUGGUUUCCAACACACGUUCAUUCUUUAUCUCCAUGUUUCGAUCUCUAACUCUCUCAACUACACAACCCUCUUUUUCCACUCUGUUACCAAAUGUAUCUACCUCACACACACGCCAUUGCACCCCAUGCCGAGCUCUCUCUCUCUCUCUCUCUCUCUCUCUCCCUCCCACCCUCUCUUCCUAGAUACAUGCAUUGCCUAUCUAUCCCCCCUCUCGUGUGCACGCACGCACGUUGUCUAUCUAGGUCACCCUCUCGAGACUGUCUCACUCUUUCUUCCGCACGGCGGGCCACACUCGCUCAAUGUCGCUCUCUUUAUCUAUGUCUCGAUUAACCUCGCUUUCUUUCACACACAAAUGAUAUAUCUCCCUGUUCGGGCCUCGAUCGACACACUCUAUACUCUCUCACGUAGAUUGUCUAUCUAGGUCAGUCCAUCCAAGCCGCCCCCACUCUUUCGACCUCAUGGUGGGCCAUGCUCGCUCAAUAUCUCUCUCUCUCCCUCUCUCUCUGUCUUUGUGUGUGUGUGUGUCUCUCUCUCUCUCUUUGUAUAUCUUGAUUGACCUCGCUCUUUCUCGGACACAAACGAUAUAUCUCCAUGUUUGAGCCCAAUUCGACAUAUUCAUAUUGUAUACUCUCUCACGCACAUUGUCUAUCUAGGUCACUCUCUCCAACCCAUCUCACUCUUUCGAUCGCAUGACGACCCACACUCGCUCAAUCUCUCUCCCUUUAUAUGUGUAAUCGAUUGACCUUGCUUCUGCCCAUGGACAAAAUGUAUCCACAUGUUUGUGACUGGAUCAUCUCUCAAGCUCUAUCUUAUAGCCCUCACCCUUCCCAAAAGCUCAAUCGGACAAUAUCUCUCCAGAGCAUAUAUAUCUUUUCAACGAAUGUCGGACCAUGCUCACUUUGUCUCUCUAUCUAUCCGUGUCUUGAUUGACCUCACUUUCUCACGCCGUAUAUUCCACACUUUGAAGCUACCUCUACAUCCCUCGCAGAGCCGGAGCUAUUUACAUUGCGAGGGGGACUCCAACCUUGGAUUAAUUUGUGAAGGCAUUUAUUCUGGUGGGUUUAGAUUAUAUUUUCAUAGCAUUCGGCCCACAACUACUCCAAACACCGUUGCAAUGUCACACCCUGAUUUUCAUGCCACAACACUUAAGCUAAUAAAUCAUGGUAAAAUGUGGUUUGACGAAAAACUUUUGAGUGUUUUGGACUUUGCUUGAUUUGAUUUUUGUGUGUUGGUUGCAAGUGCUCUAAAAAUCAAAUAAAUUCUCCAACUCUUAUACUCCUUCUCCUUGAUCCAAAACCUUGCCCAAUGAUCAUGCCAUGUGUAUAGGACAUAAAAAUAAAUCCUUACAAAAAUAAUUUGGCCAAAUAGUAUUUUGAAAAAUUAGUUUUCCAAAAACCCCUGAAUUGAGAUUUGCACUGCAAGUACUUGAUUUCGGGUGUGAAAAAUCUUUCAAAAGGUAUAUUUGAAACCUAUUAGGUAUAGGACUCCCAUAAACCACAAAAAUAUAAUUUCAAAAUUUAUUUUCCUAUUUUAUUUAAAGGCUUUUUCUUAAGGCCAGAAAUGGUCUUUAAUAGGUUAAAAUUAUUUUAAAGGUUCAAAAAUAUUUGAGAAAAAUCAGGGAAACUCAGUGGACAUAUAUUUUCCAUAUAUAAGAGUUUCAACACAUGGUCAUGUUCAAAUUAUUGGUCAAACCCCUCAAAUACCCUUUCUGGACAUUUCAAGUUUUUGAAAUGUUUACAAAGGAAAUAUUCUCCAUUAAAUACAGGAAAAUUCUAGCAUGUCAAAAAUGACCUACUUGAGGAUCCUACAAAGUCUCAUGUGAUGGAGAAGAAUAUAGCCCCACCAAACCCUCUCAAAACCAUUUAUGUCCUUUUCCAAGUUUGAACAACUUUGCACUGCCAAACAUGUCCAAAUGCUCUCAAACUUGGUGCACAUGCUCAAAUGGUGUAAUAAUGCAUCUAGACCAAAUGACACAAGUUGGAGAGAAGGAUAUCAUGAUCAAAGUGUUCUAAAACCCUUUCUGUCCAGAACCAAAUUUGAACAACUCUACAUUGCCAAGUGUGUCCUUUUGAUCUGAAUUUUUGUGGACAUGUUCAAACCCUCAAAUUAUGACGCUACACCAAGUGGUGCAUCAAGGCGAAUAGAUUUGCAUGACUAAAUCUUGGAAAAGCCAUUUCUGUUGAUUUCUAGGGUUUACCAAAGUUACGUUGGCCACUUUGCCCAAAUGAGCUCAAACUUGGUGGAACACCCUACUUCUAUGUGCCAUUUCAUCCUGUUAAGUUUCAUGUCAAGUGAAAUUAAAUUCCUUGCCCAAACCAUCACCAAAAACCUUCUGGGAGAAUUUCAAAAUGCAAGUUUCAACCCCUUCCACUAAUCUCCAUGAGCUGAAACUCUUCCCACAGCCUCAUCUGGUCCUCCUCUACCCCCUGCAUCUUUCCCUGCCCGAGGAGCCAUGAUUAAGGGGGGGUAGAACCUCAUUUUUCUUCCCUAGACAACCGUUUUCCCUCUCUCUCUCUCUCUACCCCACGCUCCUCCAGUUGCUUCCCAGGGCAUCCAAUGUCAGUUUCCCAUUGUUUACUCCCCCCUGCAGCUGCCAGACACAAGUGGACGCGCUGGUCUGCGCGAAAAGCCGUAGACGCCGGCCAAAGACGCGCUCAGGAGCACAUCAUCGCGCUCCCGACCGUUGACGCCGCAUCCCCCGACCACCUCGAGCCUCCCCCUCACUCUAGUCGAGGUCCUCGACGUCCGCAACACGACAGCCGUGCAGGCCCCCUCCUCUCCUCCUCUCUCUCACCUCCCACGGCGCGUGCCCGACGCCGCUUGAUACCGCCAAUGUUGUGCGAGCUCGUGGCUCCACCCGGAGCUCGCCCCGCUCCCUCUCUCUCUUCCUGGCGUCCUACUCCACCCCACGAGCACCGCGGACAAUCCCUCGCUCUCUCUCUUGGCCGCCCGAGCCGUUGCCGUGGCCACCCAUGCGCCGCGUCCACGGUGAGCCACGACUCGGCUACUUAAGGCCGCCCCCGAGCCCCCUCUCUACUCCUUUGGCUCUCUCUCUCCCUCCCGUGCAUCCCCUGGACCAACCCACUCCCCUCUUCGCGCUCUCCAUCCGCCACGAUGGCCGGAGCCUUGCCGUCGGCCUCCGCCUAAAUUCGCACCCACCACUCCUCCUCCUCCCCUCUAGACCGCACUAGAGCACCUCCACCAUCACCGCGAGACCCUCCCGUGCUUCUCCCUUUCCUCCCCGUGGCUGUUCCGUCGAGUUCUACCACCACCGGCGGCCUCGCCCGCCGCGGCCGAUGAUGCGCUCGUGUCUGGCCACCCCUGCGAUCAUGGCGCACCUCGGAGGAUGCGGCACGCUCUCCUGAGCACGCCGGUAUGCCGGGCGUCGCCGGAGGUGGCUGGUACCGCCGGGGAGAACGCCGGCGUCCACUCGGCCUCGCCUCCCCUGCCUCUGCUCUGUUCGAGUGGGAGGUAGGAGACGGCCUGAGCACCGGGCCCCGCUCGUCAGCGACCCGGUGGGCGGGCCCCGCCCGUUUAAGUGGAGAUGGGCCGGGAGUAAACCCGCUUCAGGCGCAGCGAAGGCGUACUCCGUCCGGGGCGCCUUCCACGUCGCCCCUGCCACCCGCGCAGCUGAGCCGCUGGGCCGGCCCACUGCUAUCUCCCGCCCAGUGCGCAGGAUAAGGGUAAAACCUUUUCCCUUUUCUUUUUCUUUUCUGUAAACUUGUAAAAUUCACAAAUAACUCUUAUGAACUCCAAAUCUAGUAAUUCAAAUUUCUAGUGACUCCAUAAAUCAUGAUCUACCUCUUGGUGCAACAUGCACAUUUUUCCAGAACAACUUUCGUCACACAAAUUAAAUAAAAUCCCAUUUUCCAUUUCUGUGAUGAACUUUAGGAAAUCACAGAGAGAUCAUCUUUGAUCCAAAUGCCAUGAUUCAAAUUUCUAGAUGCUCCUGAGUUUAUAACUUAGGUUAUGAACAUUUCUUUUAAUACUUUCUGUGCCACACAAUAUAAUAUGCCAUUUCUUCAUAUUUGUCAACUUUGCCAAUUCAUAGGGAAUUCAUUUGAACUCCAAAUACAGUGAAACCAACUCCUAGAUGCUUCUAAAAACAUGAUUUGUUAAAUGGGUGCCUUUGCUCAUUUUUCAAAAAUAUAUUUCUGUACACUUCUGGCAGAUCUAUAACUCCAUUGAUUUUAUCAUAUUGGAAUACUCAAAAAUAUCCACUGAUCCAGUCCCAAUGAAACCACACUGGUUAUUUUUCAUAUAACCAGAGAUGUCCUAGAAAAGUAAAAUUCAUAUUUUUAGAGCACUUUUAUUUUCUGCCUUGCUGUGUUGCUUACUAUGAUUGUUUCCAAUGUUAGUUGACGAAGUAGAUGAAAUACUCGAAGAUGGACUAGAAGACUUGAAGACUCUGAUGAAUCAGGCAAGCAGCCUUUUGACCAUGUCUAAGAAACCCUUUUUAUGCAUGUCAUAUGGCACUUUCAUUGCUUGCAUCGAAGUCAUGAUAAAAUGGUGACCACUUGAGGUGGUUUGCCUCCGUUGCUUUCUCGUUGACACUUGCAUGAUGCAUGACCCUACCUUUCUAUGAGGGUUAUGCGAGUGGGUGUAGUUAGGAUGCUAAGUAACUGCUGCGCAAAUGGGUUGGGUAUAUGCAUGGUGAUGGGAGCAAGAUUGUUUCAAAAGACUUUUCAAAAACCCUGUCGGGUGCCACUUAUACCCGAAGGAGAUAAUGAAUUGGGUAACCACUUGAUGACGAAGUGGUGUACCGAGGCAAGUGUGUGUGUUAUCUUCAAAACGGAUUGGUUUAAGUUGCUACCGUUAUUCCAACCUUACAUGCGCAACCACUCUACCCUUAUAUGGGAAAGGGCAUUAUUGAUUACCUAGGCCGAUACUAGCUUGGAGCCCGCAUUACCAGUGACGGGAGAGUCGUUGUUGCGCUCUCUUGGGACGGGGUCGUGCCAGGUAGGGCGGCCAUGACUGUUUUCACAGGGCACCGGACACACCGUUGGUACCCCGUGCUUGUGGUAUGUGAUGAAUAUGGGAGCAAGGCUCCACAAUUUUAAGAUGUGAAAUGUUGGGCACGGGGGUUACUAUCAAUCGAGUGGACUCUAUGUUAGUGUCGUCUAGGGAAAUAUAGUGAUCGGGUGCUUACCCCGGGUACUUGAGGUACCGCGGGUCGUGGAUGACACGGAAGUUCCCCGAAUCUUGUUGGUAAAGUGUGCAACCUCUACAGAGUGUAAAACUAUUCGAAUAGCCGUGUCCACAGUCAAGGACAGUUGGGUAACCGCUCUUGGGCUACGUCCACAUGUUUACAAACCAGUGUGUGUGUUUGGAUAAGUGGGAAGAACUACUUGGAUCAAGUCAAAGGACUUGACAUGAUUGAGUUGGGUUGAUGCCCACUUCAUUUAUGUUGAUAUCUGUAACCAGUCCUAUGGUUACUUGAAUUUGUAGGAUGCAUGUUUUACCAAUUGUUGAACAUGUCAUAGCACAGCAAAACUAGAUUUCUACAAAAUUUACCUAUAUCAUGCAUUGUUGUAUCUUGAACCAAAACAUGGGUUGCUUGCGAGUACAUUCAAAGUACUCAUUGUCUUGCCACUGGUUAUUUUAUUGGCCAGGCUUGAAAGAACAAGUUAUGAUGAAGAAUACUUCGGUGACGAACAUUCGAGCUAAGACGCUUCCCAGUCAGAAUGCAUGUAGGGUUAAGGCAGAUGGCAUGGGUCCAAGAGGUCGACGAAGAUAUCCGCUGCGAUGUUAUACUCAAGACUUGACCAUAAUGGUCCUAUUUGUGUAACACGGUAAGUAUGGAUGUAAGACUCUUGUUAUUCAGCUUCUGUGUGUCCAGUGAGCAUUGAUAUCUGGGAUCACUGUACACGUGCAUUCGGUGAUCACGACUUAUGAGUCGGGGUCCGCACAGAGCUGGUAUCAGAGCCAGGUUGACUGUAGGAAGCCUUAGUUAGCAUGGUCGUUAGUUAGGGUUAAAACUAUUUCCAAAACUAUUACCAGUUUUCAAAACUAUCUAUACUUCUCUUCCCUUCUCAGUUUUUCGAAAACUAAGGAAUACUUUCCUUAUUUAUCUCUUCCCCUUCAAAACUUUUGGUCGCUAGAACCCUUAUGCCCCUGUCCACUGGAUUCCUUGUAAUCCUCGUGGAUAAUCUAGAAGGAAGAUGCCUUGUCAGACAUUCACCCACAUCUUCUGAACACAAGAUUGGCGACACCUCGACAAGAUGAUACCAACAAAAGAUACAUCCUCAAGGAAUGAGGACAUGAAUACCCAGAAGAUGGUGACACCCUUGACACUGCCCCAAGAUGAUGCGACCUUAGCCUGCAAUGAUCAGGUCAUAGGAUAUGCAAGAUCAUGAUAUACAUCGCUAAUAGGGUAACCCUGUCACUACCGUUGUUGUACCGGCAACCACCGGUGGAUGAGAACCUCGCCAUUUGGUCCGCCUUACUAUAGUGAGUAGGAAAACGGUUCUCUUCAUCCCCCGCUCUCGGUGACGAUAUUGUCAAUAAUGUGUCUGAUAGAUUGGACCUCUACUAUGUCUUGUUAAGGUCAUUGCAUAAAGGAUUGCCACCUGGAACCGCCGACACCUUAAAAAGGCAAAAGUGAUCGUCAUGAUUAAGAAGACAAGAGGAGACCAAGUCAACGCCAGCUACGAGGAGCCGCCUUCACCCCAUCACUUCGACAUGCGAGAAGUUGUUGAAGAUUCUUCAGGCUCAACCCAGAUUGUUUCGUCAAAAUAAGAGACGUAGCAACACCUGAGGAAAACUCAGAAGACUAGACGAGGCACAAGGCACGACUACUGAGUCCGAGAACCCCUAGGGUAGGAUGAGUCGUGUACCCCCUAUGCGCAGUCGAGUUCGUAUGAUGGUUCGAAUAGAACCAUGAUUGUGUGUUGCUUGUUUUUAUUGUUUGUGUUUUGAUAUAAGUUGCACUUUUGCCCUAGGCAACAAGUACACGACUAUAUCACCUUCCUUACCUUGUUUCUUUUGUUUGGCCCUUUUUGCACCUGUUUGUUUGCACUUGCACUAUAGAACCCCCUUUAGACAUUCCCCUCCUCUAUGCUACUUUUCCCUCUCAUCUCUCUCCUCAACUGAAGGCCUGCAAGACAAGAUACACCAAGGGUUCUACUUUGGAACCAACUAGCACUGAAGACUUUUGCUAUAGCCUCCUAGACCAAGUGGAGCCCUAUAGAUUUAUGGUUGCCCCUCAAGAUUAGAAACCCAUUCCUAGACCCUUCGAGACUUCACAAGAUACCCCAGCUCGAAUCCUUAACCAUGUGCUUAACCCACAGAAUUGCAAGAGAACCAGUUAAGCCUCCGUAACCUUGCUUAUCACUGGGUUCAUUAUGGAACUAGUGGACAUAGUGAACUAGCACAUUACGAUCCUAAUAUAGCACGAGAACUGACGAUGCCAUAGGGAAGACCAAUUUGAAGAUGUAGGAAUAGAGGACAAAUGACUUGAUGAGUUUACAUCAGUAGCUGUGAGGGAUUUAUCUGAGACUAUUUGGUGGAUUAUGAGGCUUUCAUAUUGGUAGAUGAACUUGGAGGGAUCAUGUUAAUAGAGUAGCGUAACUUUCAUCACCCUGGAGUAAACUGGAUUUUGUAGGACAAUUAGGAUCACAAGCUGAGAUUCUUGGAGGAAUACGAUUUUGACUUGAACAGAUGAUAUCAAUAGGAGGUUGCUGACAUUACGAAAAUGACUUGGGGGGAACGUGUAUGAAUUCUCGUAGGACAUGAGAUUUGGAUUAAUAGGUGAUCCUAGUGGAGUAAAGAUGCUGAGUAAGUCUACAUGGUUUGGAGUAAAUUGGAUUUGGACUGAAGAUCUCGAUCAUGAUACCAUGUUUCUCGGUGGACGAUAAACUAGGAGAUUGGGUUAAUUGUCGGAGUUGAUUUAGGGGUCUAUAUAAAGCCUGACCUUGGAGUUUACUUGACCAUGAUAAUGGAAAUUGGUGGACUUACUAUAGUAGAGAUAGCCCUUUCAAGUAUUUGGGGAUUAUAGGACAUUAGGAGAUCAUGUGGAACACCAUAAACAUUCGAUUUGUAGAAUUAAUGGACUGUGUAGUGAUCGAUGGAAGUUAAUGGGCUGUUGGAGUUGAUUCAUAGGAAGGCAAAAAGAUCUUGGAGUGGCAUACGACGUGUUUCCUUAGGAUAGAGAUGCACUACCUUGGACCUUGGAAGAAUGGGCUGAGCACUUGGAUUGUGAUGUUUAAUUCAAGCAUAGCAGCUUGUACGUUCUGCCUAUGGAUUAUUUUUGCAUAGAUAUGAGUUUGGGGAUAGUUGACAUGUAUAGUUUUGUUAGACCUCCUCUUGGGAGUCAUGAGGAUAUGAAUAGCAUGAGUAAUGAUUGGAGUUUACCUAUACAAGAUAAUGCUUUCGGUGGAAUAAGGUGAUUUGUUUGAAGGAUUAGGUAGAACUGUUGGUGUCUCAGAAUCUGUGCUCAAGGAUAAGAUGAUAAACGUUCACUCGCACCCUAGAACCCUUGAAUCCCUAAAGCCUUGCCAAGCCAUAACAUGGUCAGAUCAUGACCAUGGGCUUUGGCCCCAGGCCGAGAAGACCCUGACCAAUACUCAACCGUGACCACCACCGAUACCCCAACCUAUACCCUAUGUACCCCGUGGGCAAGUCUUCACGGAGUACUCGAACAAGCUAGUUGUCAUCGUUAUUUGGUGAUAUACUUGUCUACCCGAAGACGGAAGAAGAGUCGUUCAGCUAGUUAGGGGACAUUUGAAGACCGCCAUGUCAAGGAGGAAGAACUAUACCAACCACCAUCGUCAAGACGUAAACAUCCGCAUCGAAGACCAGGUGUAUUUGCAAGCCACUCCUCUCUAAGGAACCAAGCAUUUCCAUGACAAGGAAACCCACACCAAGAUUCAUCGGCCCUCUUCAAGAUCACUCCAAGAUUUAACAACCCCCUCUGAGAUCACUACGAGACGAAGAGACGACAGUUACCAUACGGAGUUACUACCUGAGUUACCCACUGUGCACAACGUUUUCCACGCGACACAACUCCGAAAGUGUUUUCAACUUCCUAACUAGCCGGAUCUCUACAAGGACAUCGAUCACUGAGCCAUCGACCUCCAGCCCGACCUGACCUAUCCGAGAGACCAUUAGCAACCUGGAUCAAGAAGGACGUCUACACAAAGCCACAUCAUCAAUUACUUCAGGGAUCAAUAAAGCACCACACGAAAGCAGAAACAGUAUGAGGACGUGAAGACGACCCCGAAUCCAAGAUUCUGUAUUCCUUUCGAUGCCUAGUUUGGGAAUCUCGGGGACGAGAUUCUGGUAAGGGGUAGGUCUGUCACACCCUGAUUUUCAUGCCACAACACUUAAGCUAAUAAAUCAAGGUAAAAUGUGGUUUGACAAAAAACUUUUGAGUGUUUUGGACUUUGCUUGAUUUGAUUUUUGUGUGUUGGUUGCAAGUGCUCUAAAAAUCAAAUAAAUCCUCCAACUCUUAUACUCCUUCUCCUUGAUCCAAAACCUUGCCCAAUGAUCAUGCCAUGUGUAUAGGACAUAAAAAUAAUUUCUUACAAAAAUAAUUUGGCCAAAUAGUAUUUUGAAAAAUUAGUUUUCCAAAAAUCCCUGAAUUGAGAUUUGCACUGCAAGUACUUGAUUUGGGGUGUGAAACAUCUUUCAAAAGGUAUAUUUGAAACCUAUUAGGUAUAGGACUCCCAUAAACCACAAAAAUAUAAUUUCAAAAUUUAUUUUCCUAUUUUAUUUAAAGGCUUUUUCUUAAGGCCAGAAAUGGUCUUUAAUAGGUUAAAAUUAUUUUAAAGCUUCAAAAAUAUCUGAGAAAAAUCAGGGAAACUCAGUGGACAUAUAUUUUCCAUAUAUAAGAGUUUCAACACAUGGUCAAGUUCAAAUUAUUGGUCAAACCCCUCAAAUACCCUUUCUGGACAUUUCAAGUUUUUGAAAUGUUUACAAAGGAAAUAUUCUCCAUCAAAUACAGGAAAAUUCUAGCAUGUCAAAAAUGACCUACUUGAGGAUACUACAAAGUCUCAUGUCAUGGAGAACAAUAUAGCCCCACCAAACCCUCUCAAAACCAUUUAUGUCCUUUUCCAAGUUUGAACAACUUUGCACUGCCAAACAUGUCCAAAUGCUCUCAAACUUGGUGCACAUGCUCAAAUGGUGUAAUAAUGCAUCUAGACCAAAUGACACAAGUUGGAGAGAAGGAUAUCAUGAUCAAAGUGUUCUAAAACCCUUUCUGUCCAGAACCAAAUUUGAACAACUAUACAUUGCCAAGUGUGUCCUUUUGAUAUGAAUUUUUGUGGACAUGUUCAAACCCUCAAAUGAUGACGCUACAGCAAGUGGUGCAUCAAGGAGAAUAGAUUUUCAUGACUAAAUCUUGGAAAAGCCAUUUCUGUUGAUUUCUAGGGUUUACCAAAGUUACAUUGGCCACUUGGCCCAAAUGAGCUCAAACUUGGUGGAACACCCUACUUCCAUGUGCCAUUUCAUCCUGUUAAGUUUCAUGUCAAGUGAAAUUAAAUUCCUUGCCCAAACAAUCAUUAAACACCUUCUGGCAGAAUUUCAAAAUGCAAGUUUCAACCCCUUCCACUAAUCUCCAUGAGCUGAAACUCUUCCCACAGCCUCAUCUGGCCCUCCUCUACCCCCUGCAUCUUUCCCUGCCCGAGGAGCCAUGAUUAAGGGGGGGGGGUAGAACCCCAUUUUUAUUCCCUGGACAGUAGUUUUUCCUCUAUCCCUCUCAACCCCACGCUCCUCCAGUGGCUUCCCAGGGCAUCCAAUGUAACUUUCCCAUUGUUUACUCCCCCUGCAGCUGCCAGACACAAGUGGACGCGCUGGUGCGCGUGAAAAGACGCAGACGCCAACCAAAGACAUGCUCUGGAGCACGUCAUCGCGCUCUCGACCGUUGACGCCGCGUCCCCCGACCACCUCGAGCCUCCCCCACGCGCCUGUCGAGGUCCUCGACGUCCGCAACACGACAGCCGUGCAGGCCCCCUCCUCUCCCCCUCUCUCUCAUCUCCUGUGGCGCGUGCCCGAUGGCGCCCGAGCCUGCCAAUGUUCUGCGAGCUCGUGGCUCCACCCGGAGCUCAUCCCGCACCCACUCUCUCUUCCUGGCGCCCUACUCCACCCCCACGAGCACCGCGGACAAUCCCUCGCUCUCUCUCUUGGCCGCCCGGGCCGUUGCCGCGGCCACCCAUGCGCCGCAUCCACGGUGAGCCACGGGUCGGCUACUUAAGGCCGCCCCCGAGCCCCCUCUCUACUCCUUUGGCUCUCUCUCCCUCGCGUGCAUCCCCUGGACUAACCCACUCCCCUCUUCGCGCUCUCCAUCCGCCACCAUGUCCGGAGCCUUGCCGUCGGCCUCCGCCUAAAUUCGCACCCACCACUCCUCCUCCUCCCCUCUAGACCGCACUAAAGAACCUCCACCAUCACUGCGUGCUCCUCCCGUGCUUCUCCCUUUCCUACCCGUGGCUGUUCCGUUGAGUUCCAUCACCACCGCCGGCCUCGCCCGCCGCGGCCGAUGAUGUGCUCGCGUCUGCCACUCCUGCGAUCGUGGCGCACCUCGGAGGAUGCAGCACGCUCUCUUGAGCACGCCGGUAUGCCGGGCAUCGCCGGAGGUGGCCGGUACCGCCGGGGAGAACGCCAGCUCCUGCUCGGCCUCGCCUCACUGCCUCUGCUCUGUUCAAGCGGGAGGUAGGAGACGGCCUGAGCACCGGGCCUCGCUCAUCAGCGAUCCGGUGGGAGGGCCCCGCCCGUUUAAGUGGAGACGGGUCGGGAGUAAACCCGCUUCAUGCGCAGCGAAGGCGUACUCCGUCUAGGGCGCCUUCCACGUCGCCCCUGCCACCCGCGCAGCUGAGCCGCUGGGCCGGCCCACUGCUAUCUCCCACCCAGUGCGCAGGAUAAGGGUAAAACCCUUCCCUUUUCUUUUUCUGUAAACUUGUAAACUUCACAAAUAACUCUUAGGAACUCCAAAUCUAGUAAUUCAAAUUUUAGUGACUCCAUAAAUCAUGAUCUACCUCUUGGUGCAACAUGCACAUUUUUCCAGAACAACUUUCCUCACACAAAUUAAAUAAAAUCCCAUUUUCCAUUUCUAUGAUGAACUUUAGAAAAUCACAGAGAGAUCAUCUUUGAUCCAAAUGCCAUGAUUCAAAUUUCUAGAUGCUCCUGAGUUUAUAACAUAGGUAAUGAAUAUUUUUAUUAAUACUUUCUAUGCCACACAAUAUAAUGAGCCAUUUCUUCAUAUUUGUCAACUUUGCCAAUUCAUAGGGAAUUCAUUUGAACUCCAAAUCCAGUGAAACCAACUCCUAGAUGCUUCUAAAAACAUGAUUUAUUAAAUGGGUGCCUUUGCUCAUUUUUCGAAAAUAUAUUUCUGUACACUUCUGGCAGAUAUAUAUAUCCAUUGAUUCUAUCAUAUUGAAAUACUCAAAAAUAUCCACUGAUCAAGUCCCAAUGAAACCACACUGGUUAUUUUUCAUACUAGUUGACCCGUUGUGCCAAAUGGCGCAAAGACCCACUAAAGACAUGUUGUCGAUGAAAAUAGUUUCAUUUUGCAAGGACAUAUUCGAUACUGGUAGUAGAAAGGCCAUGUGUUAAAUCGUACUAUAUUGAGACCAUGUUUAUUCUAUGUGCGUGAUGAAAAGAUAUUCAAGGUUUAGUUGUGGGCAAGCACAUAUGGCAACAGAUUUAAUCUCUUUUAGUCUGGAUAAACGGUAGCUUGUUGUCUACAAUGUAAUGCAUAUACACAUAAGUCCCAUUUGAAAUAAUAUCUAUGUAAAUCUAUGUUUUACUUUGUUUAGUUAUGGGCAAGCACAUAUGGUAACAAAUCUAAUACCCUUUAGCAGCAAAAAACGAUGGAUUGUUAUCUACAAUGAGAUGUAUGUACACAUUAUAAUUUGGUAGCACAAAGUCCCAUUCAAAAUCAUGGCAUGUUGAAAAUAUUUCCAUUUUCGGCAACUCUGUGCUUUAGAAACUACACCAAGGAAGAAUUUACAUCUUAGUCACAUUGGAAACCAUACGACGUUAGUUAUGCUGUUUACAGAGACAAACGUUGCAGGCAACAAGGGACUUUUAAUAGAAUCAUCACCAGCUCUCACAACCUGGGUAAGUCUCAGUUCUGCAUCUACUCUAAACAAAAAUAUCAUAAUAAAUUGAGGCUAAACCUCUGUGCCUAUGGUAAACAAAAGGAGGGAAACACACCAUAAUUCUUAAAGGACCUAUCCUAGGAUGCAUUUGACCACGGUACCAUCCUAAAAGUCCUUCCUGAUGCUUCUUAGCUGAUCGCCCUGCGUAUGAGAUUUUGUGCCACCUUCUCAACGCUGAUAAGAGUUCCAUUGAUAAGCUGAUCUAUGGGUUCAAUACCCAUCAAAGUGAAGAGAAAAAGAUCAUGUGAUGCAUCUCAGCUGAUUGAUUGUUUCAUCUCUACUAAGGUUGUGGAUCUCUAAACUUCUCUGGAAUAGCUGCAACAAAAAAGAAUAAACCAUACCAUACUCAAGUUGAUCAGUGGAAAGCUCUUUAUAAAAUGGAAACUUCAAAGGCCAUAUAAGGUAAUAUGUUUAUAGGAUUUAGUAAACAAUGGCCGGAAAACAAAAAUAUUUCUCAGUACAGAACAAACUAAGAGGAACAUUUCGACGCUAAAAUAAAACUACAGCAAGCACAAUGGUUCCACUACAUUGUGUAGAUACCUAAUUGCUAAUUUAGGUUGUACGGCUAAUGGAAUCAAACAACAUACAAAGAAUCUCCUUCCAAGUACUCCCUUUGUAAUUUAUAUAAGACCGUUCAGAUCACUAAAGAUUGUAGCUUGGAGUAUAUUAGUUUACAGAGGGAGUAUAGACUGUAGCUUGGAAAGUGAAAACAGUGCAACGCACAUGAGCCUUGCAGGACAUAUACUUCACAAAGAACACAGCCGAACCUGAGUGUACAAAGGUCAUAGGGCUCAAAAACUCGUCAAUCCUUGAACUGGUUACAUUAUAAACAAAUUAAGCUUGUCAUAGAAUAAAACCAUUAUGACCUACUAAAACCCAACCUGACAAAGUGAUCCAUUUCAAAUUUUCAAUACAUAACAUUUGAUGCGUCGUUAAUUGCCAAGUUGUUUAAAUUUUUGGAAUAGAAUCAUGUGGCCCAAACAUAUCUUGUAUUGCCGUUUACGGAAUAAAGGAAAUCAAAAAUAUUUUAACAUUAAUUUAUCUUCCAUCCUAACAAUAGCCUCAUACAGCACCACAUCUCUAACCUUAAGCUUUUUGAAAAAUGCCAUAUAAAUAUUUUGAACAAAAUAAAUGGCAAACAAAGAAGUAAUAUAUCCACAUAAAAUUCAUGUUUACUGGUUUACUAUGAAUCACUUGAUGAAGGAAGCAAUUGAUUUAGUAUGGAAAUUAGAAUUUCAACUCUAAGAAUGAUCAUAUAUUGAUCAUACUCCUAGUGGCUCCAUGGUCAAGGUGAGGUAAGACCACUGUGGUGACGGGUGAAGCAAAAAUAUGCGGGUAAGGCUCAAAACUGCUGAACUACACAUUAUGUUUCAUUUCAUGAAGCACACUGAACCAUUGAUACUGCAUUAAAUGGCUAAAGAACCAUAACCUGAAAAGCUGUCAUGGUGAUUCAAUUUCUAAAACAUGUGGCUCUUUUUUGUAAUGUUGGCCUAUUUCAGAAGAUACAAUAAAAGGGCAUGCAAAGAUCAUAAUCUGAACUGGAUGUCUAGAAUUUACAGAGAAAAUAGAUAUGAUAGUCGAAGCAUGAGACAAAAAUGCUUUUAGGUCCUGGCACGAAAUUACAAACCCAUAAUUGAUAUCCAAAGGUCACUAUUUUGAAUUCUCGCUAAGCAUGGCAGGCAAAGUAUUAG